CCAGACUCCUACGGGAGGCAGCAGUGGGGAAUAUUGGGCAAUGGGCGCAAGCCUGACCCAGCAACGCCGCGUGAAGGAAGAAGGCUUUCGGGUUGUAAACUUCUUUUGUCAGGGACGAAGCAAGUGACGGUACCUGACGAAUAAGCCACGGCUAACUACGUGCCAGCAGCCGCGGUAAUACGUAGGUGGCAAGCGUUAUCCGGAUUUACUGGGUGUAAAGGGCGUGUAGGCGGGACUGCAAGUCAGAUGUGAAAACCACGGGCUCAACCUGUGGCCUGCAUUUGAAACUGUAGUUCUUGAGUACUGGAGAGGCAGACGGAAUUCCUAGUGUAGCGGUGAAAUGCGUAGAUAUUAGGAGGAACACCAGUGGCGAAGGCGGUCUGCUGGACAGCAACUGACGCUGAGGCACGAAAGUGUGGGGAGCAAACAGGAUUAGAUACCCUUGUA
RNAcentral lists this ribosomal RNA (447 nucleotides) under uncultured bacterium. RNAcentral describes it as "bacterial SSU rRNA". It matches the Rfam family "Bacterial small subunit ribosomal RNA", at positions 331 to 792 of the family's 1533-position model. The record is from RNAcentral.